Molecule: ribosomal RNA, 490 nt
Filed under: uncultured bacterium
Lineage: Bacteria
Description: partial 16S ribosomal RNA
Rfam family: Bacterial small subunit ribosomal RNA
Source: RNAcentral
AUUGAACGCUGGCGGCAUGCUUUACACAUGCAAGUCGGACGGCAGCACAGAGAAGCUUGCUUCUUGGGUGGCGAGUGGCGAACGGGUGAGUAAUAUAUCGGAACGUACCGAGUAAUGGGGGAUAACUAAUCGAAAGAUUAGCUAAUACCGCAUAUUCUCUGAGGAGGAAAGCAGGGGACCUUCGGGCCUUGCGUUAUUCGAGCGGCCGAUAUCUGAUUAGCUAGUUGGUGGGGUAAAGGCCUACCAAGGCGACGAUCAGUAGCGGGUCUGAGAGGAUGAUCCGCCACACUGGGACUGAGACACGGCCCAGACUCCUACGGGAGGCAGCAGUGGGGAAUUUUGGACAAUGGGCGCAAGCCUGAUCCAGCCAUGCCGCGUGUCUGAAGAAGGCCUUCGGGUUGUAAAGGACUUUUGUCAGGGAAGAAAAGGCUGUUGCUAAUAUCAAUAGCUGACGACGGUACCUGAAGAAUAAGCACCGGCUAACUACGUG